AGUCAUUCUGAGAACGAGCAGAGGCGGAGAAGGUCAAGAAAACGAGGCCUUGUCUAUUUACCGGCUCUGUAAGGAACUAUUGUGUCUCAGCAGCUGUUCUUCUUGCUCCUUCGGAAGCCCUGCCUGUGAGUAGACGGGAUGGGGUGUGUGACACCGGCAGGCGGGGACCCUGGGGAGGAACGUCUACUACUUUCUGCACCUCAAGAAAGAUGGGCUUUUUGGAGAGAGAGAGAGUGUGUGUGUGUGUGUGUGUGUGUGUCACUGGGAGGGGGAAGGACAGAGGAGAGAAAGAGAAAAAAGUCACAAUCUCCGCGACCUUUCAUUCUGCAUUUUUUUUUAAUGGAGAAAAAAAACUGAAAAAUUUCAGCCAAAGGAAAAGCCGUGAAAUGGUUGAGAAGGACUUUAUGACUAAGAGAGGACUGCGAUGGAAAAUAUGUAAAAAGAGAAGUUAAACCAGCUGGCUUAUUUAAUUUUGGCUUUUCCCCCUCUUUUCAUUUUUUUUUUUUCUUCUUUAGCUUAAACUAGGGAAAAAUGUGCUGUGUAAAUAUCCAGUGUUUUUCCUAGGAGUUAGCCCUAGAAUUGUUCACAGAACUUAGAUUAGUGGACCUCUGGAGACUGGGCGUGAACGUGACAUCUCACCCCUGGGUCAGAGGCCACUUCCUGCUCCAUCUUGUAAGUAAAAGCUCUCGCUAUCCUGCGAGUCUCCUGCGCCCACACUGGGGGGGUAGAAGUGGGGGAUGGGAGUGGGGGGGGGGAGCAGGGACUGGGGGGAGCUCAAUGACAACUAUUCCUCCCAUGAUUUCAUUGUAGGAACACUUUCCAUUCUUGUAUAAUAUUCAGAAACUAAGUCGGGAAACUCUAUUACAAAGCACAUAUUAAUUAAUAUUUCUAGCUUAUUAACUUAUUCAUGCAUCCAGUAAACAUCAUUGUAGUCUACCGAGGUAACUGUGCCUUGUGUUACCUGCUGGGGAGAUAAAGAUAACUAAAUAUAUUCCUUCUAUGACCUCAAACAAGAAGGAGAGACAGAAAUCUAGACCAAUAAUUACAGCCAUUACAGUAGUUUUAUGAGACAACAGAACAGGAAAAAUGUACCUUUGCCUAUAGGAGGGCAAGGAGGGCACCCAGAAAGUGGUGAUACUGGAAAUGAGCUGUUUGCUUUUUAUUUGGGGUUUUGUUUUUUUGUUUUUUGUUUUUGUUUUUUGGUUUUUGGUUUUUUUUUGGCCAUGCCCACGGCAUGCAGAAGUUCCCAGGCCAGGGACCAAAUCUGAUCCACAGCAGUAACCAGAGUCAAGCAGUAACGACAUCAGAUUCUUAACCCGCUGAGCCACCAGGGAAGUCCUGGAACCGAGUCUUUUGAGCUAACUAGGAACAUACCAGAAGAUGAAGGAGAGGAAGAGCAUUCCAGACAGAUGGAACAGCCAUGGAAAAGCUUUUUUUUCCCCUUGGGUAAGGGGGGACAUUUGCAAUGGUGUACUCCAAUUUGGGUUCUAGGAACUUAGGAUGAAAAGUAGAGUGAAAUGGGAUAGUACUGGCCCACAGUGUUCAGAGUUUGCAAUCAAGGAGCCCCCACAGGCAGCAUUCAAGUGUAAAGACAGAAUUAAAACCAGUGGAAAAUAACACCCACACACCAUCCUAAUGGGGACCAAGCUGGAAGGCAAAACCCGGCAGAAGUAAAAUGGGAACUGGCAGCAGCACAGGUUAGGAGUUGGGGGAGGAGGGAGAGCCUGGAGAGGAGCCUUUGAACAGAGCUACAGGGGAUUUUCAGAGGCAGCUGAAGGGCCGAUCUGGGUGGGGGAGGACAGUGUGGCAGGCACAGAACCUGUUCAGGCAGGCGUGGAAGCAAGACAAAGCCGAGCCCAGUCAGGGAGUUAAGAUCAGUCAUCAUGACUAAUGCCCAGACGAAAAACAAGGAGGGUAGACAAGAGGGAGUCAGGACCUCCAGGACGAGGAACCUUGAAAAGUACCCUCGGGGAACUUGCCAGCUGGGACUUCCCCCGGGGGGCCUGGGCAUCACUGGCAGUUAUCAAUGUGUUGUUCUGUGUGGGAUACAAACACUAUUGUAAUGAUUUUUAAAGCAAUCAGAAAAAUACACUGGGAGUUUGGGGUUAGUAGAUGCAGGCUAUUACAUUUAAAAUGAAUAAGCAAGGAGGUCCUACUGUACAGGCCAGGGAAUUAUAUCCAGCCUCUUGGGACAGGCCACGACGGAAGAUAGUACAAGGAAGGGAAUGUGUUUGUAUCUAUGACUGGGUCACUUUGCUAUACAGCAGAAAUUGGCACAACACUGUAAAUCAACUAUA
RNAcentral lists this long non-coding RNA (2297 nucleotides) under Sus scrofa (pig). RNAcentral's name for it is "lncRNA (ENSSSCG00065022876.1)". The record is from RNAcentral. Lineage: Eukaryota; Metazoa; Chordata; Mammalia; Artiodactyla; Suidae.